UUCUCUGGAGAGCUUCCUGAGGCUGGUUUUUAUGUGCCGGUCCGUCGGGAACGCCGAAGGUGUAAGGCAGAAAGCUGCUGAUCUCUCAGGCAAAAGGACAGGGU
Molecule: non-coding RNA, 104 nt
Filed under: Candidatus Ruminococcus avistercoris
Lineage: Bacteria; Bacillati; Bacillota; Clostridia; Eubacteriales; Oscillospiraceae
Description: Glycine riboswitch
Rfam family: Glycine riboswitch aptamer
About the family: This family represents the bacterial glycine riboswitch. Glycine riboswitches usually consist of two metabolite-binding aptamers domains with similar structures in tandem. The aptamers cooperatively bind glycine to regulate the expression of downstream genes.
Source: RNAcentral